This 397-nucleotide ribosomal RNA is filed under the name uncultured bacterium. RNAcentral describes it as "partial 16S ribosomal RNA". It matches the Rfam family "Bacterial small subunit ribosomal RNA", at positions 523 to 918 of the family's 1533-position model. The record is from RNAcentral.
AUACGUAGGGGGAGAGCGUUGUCCGGAAUGAUUGGGCGUAAAGGGCGCGUAGGCGGCCCUGAAAGCCUGGAGUGAAAGUCCUGUUUUUAAGAUGGGAAUUGCUUUGGAUACUGUCGGGCGUCAGUGCAGGAGAGGUAAGUGGACUUCCCAGUGUAGCGGUGAAAUGCGUAGAGAUUGGGAGGAACACCAGUGGCGAAGGCGACUUACUGGACUGUAACUGACGCUGAGGCGCGAAAGUGUGGGGAGCAAACAGGAUUAGAUACCCUGGUAGUCCACACUGUAAACGAUGAAUGCUAGGUGUAGGGGGUAUCGACCCCUUCUGUGCCGCAGUCAACACAAUAAGCAUUCCGCCUGGGGAGUACGGCCGCAAGGUUGAAACUCAAAGGAAUUGACGGGG